RNAcentral lists this long non-coding RNA (341 nucleotides) under Carica papaya (papaya). RNAcentral's name for it is "long non-coding RNA (CPAP_LNC012730)". The record is from RNAcentral. Lineage: Eukaryota; Viridiplantae; Streptophyta; Magnoliopsida; Brassicales; Caricaceae.
UAAAACAUAUCAUAAUUCCGUAUUCAUUAACAAUAAUUGAUUAUUCCCGUUUCUCAUUUUCAUCAGCCUACUAAUAUCCAUGGAGAUCCAUAGGGGUGUCCCCACUACACGUGAACCAUUCUUCUUAACAAUUUUAAUUCCAGGGCUGUCUCCAUACCUCGUCCGGUAUGAGCACCAAGAUAAUAAACCUCAAUACCCCGUCUGGUAUGAGGAUGAAGCGGGUCGUCCCCUUACCCCGUCCAGUAUGAGCGCCAAAUGACCAAGUCUCCAUACUCCGUCCGGUAUGAGACACGUUCACAGUAGGGUUCCCUAUGAACCCGGUCCGUCCACCAUCUCCCAGG